CCUACGGGUGGCAGCAGUGGGGAAUAUUUGGCAAUGGGCGCAAGCCUGACCCAGCAACGCCGCGUGAAGGAAGAAGGCUUUCGGGUUGUACACUUCUUUUAAGAGGGAAGAGCAGAAGACGGUACCUCUUGAAUAAGCCACGGCUAACUACGUACCAGCAGACGCGGUAAUACGUAGGUGGCAAGCGUUGUCCGGAUUUACGGGGUGUAAAGGGCGUGUAGCCGGGCUGACAAGUCAGAUGUGAAAUCCGGGGGCUGAACCCCCGAACUGCAUUUGAAACUGUUGGUCUUGAGUAUCGGAGAGGCAGGCGGAAUUCCGAGUGGAGCGGUGAAAUGCGUAGAUAUUAGGAGGAGCACCAGUGGAGAAGGCGGCCUGCUGGACGACAACUGACGGGGAGGCGCGAAAGCGUGGGGAGCAAACAGGAUUAGAUACCCGAGUAGUC
Molecule: ribosomal RNA, 442 nt
Filed under: uncultured bacterium
Lineage: Bacteria
Description: partial 16S ribosomal RNA
Rfam family: Bacterial small subunit ribosomal RNA
Source: RNAcentral